This 254-nucleotide ribosomal RNA is filed under the name uncultured bacterium. RNAcentral describes it as "partial 16S ribosomal RNA". It matches the Rfam family "Bacterial small subunit ribosomal RNA", at positions 524 to 776 of the family's 1533-position model. The record is from RNAcentral.
UACGGGGGGAGCAAGCGUUGUUCGGAUUUACUGGGCGUAAAGGGCGCGUAGGCGGUCGUGACAAGUCACUUGUGAAAUCUCCGGGCUUAACUCGGAACGGUCAAGUGAUACUGUCGGACUAGAGUACAGAAGGGGCAACUGGAAUUCUCGGUGUAGCGGUGAAAUGCGUAGAUAUCAAGAGGAACACCUGAGGUGAAGACGGGUUGCUGGGCUGACACUGACGCUGAGGCGCGAAAGCUAGGGUAGCAAACGGG